This 84-nucleotide transfer RNA is filed under the name Felis catus (domestic cat). It matches the Rfam family "tRNA". From Rfam's summary of the family: Transfer RNA (tRNA) molecules are approximately 80 nucleotides in length. Their secondary structure includes four short double-helical elements and three loops (D, anti-codon, and T loops). Further hydrogen bonds mediate the characteristic L-shaped molecular structure. tRNAs have two regions of fundamental functional importance: the anti-codon, which is responsible for specific mRNA codon recognition, and the 3' end, to which the tRNAs corresponding amino acid is attached (by aminoacyl-tRNA synthetases). tRNAs cope with the degeneracy of the genetic code in two manners: having more than one tRNA (with a specific anti-codon) for a particular amino acid; and 'wobble' base-pairing, i.e. permitting non-standard base-pairing at the 3rd anti-codon position. Lineage: Eukaryota; Metazoa; Chordata; Mammalia; Carnivora; Felidae. The record is from Rfam by way of RNAcentral.
GCCUGGGUGGCUCAGUCUGUUAAGCGUCUGACUUCAGCUCAGGUCAUGAUCUUGGGUUCAUGAGUUCAAGCCCCAUGUCAGGCU